This 64-nucleotide transfer RNA is filed under the name Ectomocoris horridus. RNAcentral describes it as "tRNA-Ala". It matches the Rfam family "tRNA". From Rfam's summary of the family: Transfer RNA (tRNA) molecules are approximately 80 nucleotides in length. Their secondary structure includes four short double-helical elements and three loops (D, anti-codon, and T loops). Further hydrogen bonds mediate the characteristic L-shaped molecular structure. tRNAs have two regions of fundamental functional importance: the anti-codon, which is responsible for specific mRNA codon recognition, and the 3' end, to which the tRNAs corresponding amino acid is attached (by aminoacyl-tRNA synthetases). tRNAs cope with the degeneracy of the genetic code in two manners: having more than one tRNA (with a specific anti-codon) for a particular amino acid; and 'wobble' base-pairing, i.e. permitting non-standard base-pairing at the 3rd anti-codon position. The record is from RNAcentral. Lineage: Eukaryota; Metazoa; Arthropoda; Insecta; Hemiptera; Reduviidae.
GGGGCUGUAGUUAAAAAUAACAUUUAAUUUGCAAUUAAAAAGUGCUUUAUAAGAGCCAUCCUCA